Molecule: ribosomal RNA, 270 nt
Filed under: uncultured bacterium
Lineage: Bacteria
Description: partial 16S ribosomal RNA
Rfam family: Bacterial small subunit ribosomal RNA
Source: RNAcentral
CCGGCGACCGGCGCACGGGUGAGUAACACGUAUGCAACCUGGCCGUGACAGAUGGAUAACCGGGAGAAAUCCCGCCUAAUACAACAUAAUGCCGGGAGGGGACAUCCCCUGCCGGUCAAAGGGGGCGACCCCGGUCAUGGAUGGGCAUGCGGCGCAUUAGGUAGUUGGUGGGGCAACGGCCCACCAAGCCGACGAUGCGUAGGGGUUCUGAGAGGAAGGUCCCCCACAUUGGAACUGAGACACGGUCCAAACUCCUACGGGAGGCAGCAG